AACGAACGCUGGCGGCAUGCUUAACACAUGCAAGUCGAACGGUGGCUUCGGCCACAGUGGCGCACGGGUGAGUAACGCGUGGGAACCUGCCUUGGAGUUCGGAAUAACCGCGGGAAACUGCGGCUAAUACCGGAUAUUGCCUUCGGGUGAAAGAUUUAUCGCUCCGAGAGGGGCCCGCGUCCGAUUAGCUAGUUGGUGAGGUAACGGCUCACCAAGGCUCCGAUCGGUAGCUGGUCUGAGAGGAUGAUCAGCCACACUGGGACUGAGACA
RNAcentral lists this ribosomal RNA (270 nucleotides) under uncultured bacterium. RNAcentral's name for it is "partial 16S ribosomal RNA". It matches the Rfam family "Bacterial small subunit ribosomal RNA", at positions 29 to 326 of the family's 1533-position model. The record is from RNAcentral.